RNAcentral lists this ribosomal RNA (484 nucleotides) under uncultured bacterium. RNAcentral describes it as "partial 16S ribosomal RNA". It matches the Rfam family "Bacterial small subunit ribosomal RNA", at positions 30 to 507 of the family's 1533-position model. The record is from RNAcentral.
AUUGAACGCUGGCGGCAGGCCUAACACAUGCAAGUCGAGCGGAUGAAGGGAGCUUGCUCCUGGAUUCAGCGGCGGACGGGUGAGUAAUGCCUAGGAAUCUGCCUGGUAGUGGGGGAUAACGUCCGAAAACGGGCGCUAAUACCGCAUACGUCCUGAGGGAGAAAGUGAGGAAUCUUCUGACCUCACGCUAUCAGAUCAGCCUAGGUCGGAUUAGCUAGUUGGUGUGGUAAAGGCCUACCAAGGCGACGAUCCGUAACUGGUCUGAGAGGAUGAUCCGUCACACUGUCAAUAAGAGACGUUCCCUACUCUUACGGGGGGCAGCAGUGGGGAAGAAAGGCUGCCACACGAAAGCCUGAGACAGCACUGUCGCGUGUGUGCAGACCGUACAAGGAGUGUAAAGUACUUAAAGUUGAGAGGAAGGUCAGGAAGCUAAUACCUCGCCGUUUUGACGUGACCAACCGAAUAAGCACCGGCUAACUGCAUG